Molecule: long non-coding RNA, 351 nt
Organism: Stomoxys calcitrans (stable fly)
Lineage: Eukaryota; Metazoa; Arthropoda; Insecta; Diptera; Muscidae
Exons: 3
Source: RefSeq, a predicted model, not a curated record
UUGACCUAGGCAUGCUGUUUGUAUUUGAGCAGUUCGCUGGAUGUCCUACUCUUUAUCAUGGUGUCCACAAUACGUUCCAUGGUUUUGAGUAGAAAGGAAUUUAUUAUCCAUAUAGAGAUAUGCGAUAUUGACUUGGAAAACGGCGCUGAGUACAGAAUAUAACAUAUGUGGAUCUAGAUUUCGUGGUACUGUACUGUACGCAAAAUGCUAAAAUUGGCCAUGCCCCCCCGUCUAUGAAGAGAAGUUAAUAAUGGAAACGAUUGUUCUUUCUUUUUUCCAAAGCCUGGGAUCAUUAAAUAAAAAUAUUUUUAAAUUUUUAAGCACAUAUUUCAUGUUUAAUAUGCAAUUUAA